UGGAAUUUAAGUCUCCCGAGGCAAGAAAUUGAGUAGAAGAACUUCGAAGAGGGGAAAGGGACUUCCAUUUAUGUGUUCCAUUUUUCCUACUGACAAAAAUUGAAACCCUUUUCUUGGUAGCUGGUUUCUUUUAUUCUAUAAAGGCCCUUGUUCUGUAAUUCAUUCUGAUUGAUUUUCACCCUUGAAUGUAGAGAAAUCUCUUUCUUUUUUCUCUUCACACUCAAGAAUAUCACCUUCGAAAGAUUUUUCAUGGAUUUUGUAACGAGGAUUCACAACUACAGCAAGAAGCAAUGCAGAAGCCUAUUCAAGAAAGUGGGGGCAGUGAUGAAGAAGACAGUUAAGAAGGGACACAAACACCAAUUUAUUUUCCAGUAUGAUCCUUCAAGUUAUGCCCUCAACUUUGAUGAUGGCAUUCAAGAAUUGGGCGAAACAUCAACCGUUUCUUACUCAAAAAAUACAGUUAUUUGGAUUUAUGUUAUUUGGCCUGAAGUGUAGCUUUCGUUUUUCUGUAGUCGAUCUCAAGAACGAGUAAAGAAAAAGAGUAGCGGUAAGGGGAUGGUACCUUUUGUUCUUCAAUUGAAGUUCUUGUUUUGAGUUCAAAUAAUAUUUUUCGAUAUUAUGUUCAGUGUUCUGAUCAUAAACAAGAAUACCUGCAUUAUACUUGUCAUCAUCUCCUUUUCUCCUACUGUGUUGUCCA
This 697-nucleotide long non-coding RNA is filed under the name Olea europaea subsp. europaea. The record is from RNAcentral. Lineage: Eukaryota; Viridiplantae; Streptophyta; Magnoliopsida; Lamiales; Oleaceae.